UUUAUGGAGAGUUUGAUCCUGGCUCAGGACGAACGCUGGCGGCGUGCCUAAUACAUGCAAGUCGAGCGGAUCUUUGGGAGCUUGCUCCUAAAGGUUAGCGGCGGACGGGUGAGUAACACGUGGGCAACCUGCCCUAUAGUUGGGGAUAACUCCGGGAAACCGGAGCUAAUA
Molecule: ribosomal RNA, 171 nt
Filed under: Ureibacillus antri
Lineage: Bacteria; Bacillati; Bacillota; Bacilli; Caryophanales; Caryophanaceae
Description: Lysinibacillus sp. SYSU K30002 partial 16S ribosomal RNA
Rfam family: Bacterial small subunit ribosomal RNA
Source: RNAcentral